RNAcentral lists this ribosomal RNA (320 nucleotides) under uncultured eukaryote. RNAcentral describes it as "partial 18S ribosomal RNA". It matches the Rfam family "Eukaryotic small subunit ribosomal RNA", at positions 1470 to 1796 of the family's 1831-position model. The record is from RNAcentral.
CCCUUAGAUGUUCUGGGCCGCACGCGCGCUACACUGAUGCACUCAACGAGUCUCCACCUUGACCGAAAGGUCCGGGAAACCUUCGAACUUGCAUCGUGAUGGGGAUAGAUUAUUGCAACUAUUAAUCUUCAACGAGGAAUACCUAGUAAGCGCAUGUCAUCAGCGUGCGUUGAUUACGUCCCUGCCCUUUGUACACACCGCCCGUCGCACCUACCGAUUGAAUGGUCCGGUGAAAUCUCGGGACGGCGGCUUGGUCGCUUGCGUCCGACUGCUGAAACUUGAUUAAACCAUAUCAUUUAGAGGAAGGUGAAGUCGUAACA